CAUAGUUAAUAUUCAUAACUUCAGAUACAAAAAUGAUACAUGCAUACAAAUAGCCUAACCAUACUCAGCAAAUCAUAACUUUUCUUUUGAUACCUUACUUUGACACACUUUGUGUAAGAUCUGUUGCAAUUGUAUAACGGUAGCAACAAUGAUCUACGUGGUCAUAUUUUAAUCAGACAAUGUCACACCUCCAACGCAAAAUUGAUGCAGGAAGGGGUGUCCCAGACACUGCCGAAUGCAUCAUAGGGGCUUCCCAUUCUUGGUUCUAUAUUUCUACAGCUUCUGACCCAGAAUUAGAAGUAUCAGUGUAUAACAGAAAAGAUUAAUCAAAAUCAUGUUUGGCUAAAACAGGCUUUUUCUUUGUAAGGUUCAUUAUGGAAGUAACAAUAUUAUUGAAUUCUUUUACAAACCAAGGUAAAACUUGGUUAGAUCAAUAGUGGAUUGGAUGUGCUCUUGCAGCAUAAUUUCUGCAUGUCUCUCAUGAUCUUGCCAUGAACUAAUGAAAAUAGUUAAUUUAUCCAUGCAAGCUCUGGCAAAUGUUUGGAACCCAAUUAACAUCAAGUCAAUGUGGAUAUUAAUGUUCUCCAUAGUGUAGGAAUCUUGGCAUUUAGCCAGGAAAGCAAUAGGGUGGUGUGCCUUAGUUUCCCUUUUCAUACAGCACAUUAUGUCUAUAAUGCUUUCUCUGAUGUGAAAAGUUUUAAGACUGGUUACAGGCACUGGCUGUGAAAUAUCAGUAUCACAAGAUCUUUUAACAUAAAGUGUGUUGUCAUGUAAAGAAACAGUAACCCAUAAAGGCUUCUAGCACAUAGUGAGUUCUUAUGCACCACUCCCAAGGGUUUUUCCAAAAGAUCAUGCACACUGUACGUUUUUACAGUUUUUGGUAUCCGCAACAAACUAGUCACAAGAGUUAACAUUAGCAAUAAUAUUAACAUCAUAUCUGUCCCAGGUGUACAUUUAUAAGCAUUUUUGUCCUGCCAUACCUCUGGCUCAGUACUGUUGAGGUUUUGGCAUUUUAGGGCUAACCUGUGGUUUCCAUUAGCAAGAUGAAGUUUUUCCCUUCCUCCCUGUCCUGAAGGGUCAAAAUCUGAGCUAUUUUGUGUAACAGAAUCCAUUGGCUGGCUAGGUGUGUCCUUUUUGCUAACAAUUAUGGUAUGGGUAAGUCUUUUCUUCCCCUGUCAGUCAGAUAAUCUGCAUCAACACAGACACUAGUUUGUUUACUAGUUUUCAGAUUCUUAACCAUUACCAUCUCCAAGGCUGGACUCUGUCUUAAAGAGAUACCAUCCAUUUUCACUAGCACGUUAGACUCAAGGUUCUUUUGUCCUUUAAUUACCAAUCUCUGCUUCCACAUGGAAUCAGAUGUCAAGUCCACUAAGAGGCUACAAGUCAUAUCAAAGUAUCUAGGAGUGAAAGUUUGCCUGCCAUCUCCUGUAUUCUCAAGAGAUAACUGCACAGCUGUCCUGCUCUGUAGAUUCAACUACUCAGUCCUCCACUGAACCUGAGACCCAGACUGUUCACUCACAGAAUCAGUAUGGAGACAUUCAUGUUCCAACAACAUCGUCUUCCCAACAAGCUGGUCAAGCGCAGCCACUUGGUCAUCACCAUAGGGCUGUUCCAAUUCCCUGACAAUUUUCAUUCCAUCUGACGCCUUCUCUAAGUUAUUCACACUGGGUCUUUCUAAAACAAAGUCAGUGGAUCCAUUUUCAACAGAAAAAUUCUGGCUGUUAAGAACUGAAACAAAUCUCUCAAUCAACUGUUGCCUUCUACAGACAGAAAUUCAUCUUGAUCUACCUCAGUUAAUUCACUUCCACACCCCUCAGUUACAGCAAACUGCUUG
Long non-coding RNA from Dermochelys coriacea (leatherback sea turtle), 1834 nucleotides. RefSeq lists it as uncharacterized. The record is from RefSeq and is a predicted model, not a curated record. The transcript has 2 exons. NCBI's taxonomy places the organism in Eukaryota, Metazoa, Chordata, Testudines, Dermochelyidae.